This 589-nucleotide ribosomal RNA is filed under the name uncultured bacterium. Its description in RNAcentral is "bacterial SSU rRNA". It matches the Rfam family "Bacterial small subunit ribosomal RNA", at positions 338 to 918 of the family's 1533-position model. The record is from RNAcentral.
CCUACGGGAGGCAGCAGUGAGGAAUAUUGCGCAAUGGGCGAAAGCCUGACGCAGCGACGCCGCGUGAAGGAUGAAGGUCUUCGGAUCGUAAACUUCUGUUAAGCGGGAAGAAAGAUCGAUCUCUAAUAUAGAUCGGGGAUGACGGUACCGCUAGAGAAAGCACCGGCUAACUUCGUGCCAGCAGCCGCGGUAAUACGAGGGGUGCUAACGUUAUUCGGAUUUACUGGGUGUAAAGGGUGUGUAGACGGCUUAUUAAGUUCGUUGUUAAAUCUUCCGGCUCAACCGGGAGCUUGCGAUGGAAACUGAUAGGCUUGAGGGUGAAAGAGAGAAGCGGAAUUCUCGGAGUAGCGGUAAAAUGCGUAGAUCUCGAGAGGAACACCGAUGGCGAAAGCAGCUUCUUGGUUCACAUCUGACGUUGAGACACGAAAGCGUGGGGAGCAAACAGGAUUAGAUACCCUGGUAGUCCACGCUGUAAACGAUGAUCACUGGAUGUCAGCUUUGCUUUGCAAGGUUGGUAUCGAAGCUAACGCGUUAAGUGAUCCACCUGGGAACUACGGUCGCAAGAUUAAAACUCAAGGAAUUGACGGGG